GAAGCUCAGUGGUAGAACAUCUGCUCUGCAAGAGGAAGGUCCCAGGAUCAAUUCCUGGCAUCUCCC
Molecule: non-coding RNA, 66 nt
Organism: Podarcis lilfordi (Lilford's wall lizard)
Lineage: Eukaryota; Metazoa; Chordata; Lepidosauria; Squamata; Lacertidae
Source: the annotation of a GenBank genome assembly